GACGAACGCUGGCGGCGUGCUUAACACAUGCAAGUCGAACGGAAAGGCCCUGCUUUUGUGGGGUGCUCGAGUGGCGAACGGGUGAGUAACACGUGAGUAACCUGCCCUUGACUUUGGGAUAACUUCAGGAAACUGGGGCUAAUACCGGAUAGGAGCUCCUGCUGCAUGGUGGGGGUUGGAUAGUUUCGGCGGUUGGGGAUGGACUCGCGGCUUAUCAGCUUGUUGGUGGGGUAGUGGCUUACCAAGGCUUUGACGGGUAGCCGGCCUGAGAGGGUGACCGGCCACAUUGGGCCUAAGGUACGGCCCAGACGCCUACGGGAGGCAGCGGUGGGAAGUAUUGCACAAUGGGCGGAAGCCUGAUGCAGAAACGCCGCGUGCGGGAUGACGGCCUUCGGGUUGUAAACCGCUUUCGCCUGUGACGAAGCGUGUGUGACGGUAAUGAGUAAAGAAGCACCGGCUAACUACGUG
This 468-nucleotide ribosomal RNA is filed under the name uncultured bacterium. RNAcentral's name for it is "partial 16S ribosomal RNA". It matches the Rfam family "Bacterial small subunit ribosomal RNA", at positions 28 to 507 of the family's 1533-position model. The record is from RNAcentral.